This 368-nucleotide ribosomal RNA is filed under the name uncultured organism. Its description in RNAcentral is "bacterial SSU rRNA". It matches the Rfam family "Bacterial small subunit ribosomal RNA", at positions 526 to 896 of the family's 1533-position model. The record is from RNAcentral.
CGGAGGGUGCAAGCGUUAUCCGGAUUCACUGGGUUUAAAGGGUGUGUAGGCGGGCUGUUAAGUCAGUGGUGAAAUCUCAAGGCUCAACCUUGAAACUGCCAUUGAUACUAUCAGUCUUGAAUCUUGUUGAGGUAGGCGGAAUAUGUCAUGUAGCGGUGAAAUGCUUAGAUAUGACAUAGAACACCGAUUGCGAAGGCAGCUUACUAAGCAAGCAUUGACGCUGAGGCACGAAAGCGUGGGGAUCAAACAGGAUUAGAUACCCUGGUAGUCCACGCCCUAAACGAUGAUUACUCGACAUACGUGAUACACUAUGUGUGUCUGAGCGAAAGCAUUAAGUAAUCCACCUGGGAAGUACGUCCGCAAGGAUG